Molecule: small RNA, 126 nt
Filed under: Marmota monax (woodchuck)
Lineage: Eukaryota; Metazoa; Chordata; Mammalia; Rodentia; Sciuridae
Source: RNAcentral
GCUGGACAUGGUGGUGCAUGCCUGUAAUCCCAGCAACUUGGGAGGCUGAGGAUGGAAGAUUACAUGUUUGAGCCCAGUCUGGACAACUUAGCAAGACUGUCUCAAAAUAAAAAUUUUAAAGGUCUU